UAGAUACCCCACUAUGCUUAGCCCUAAAUCUUGACACUUCCCCGACCAAAGUGUCCGCCUGAGAACUACGAGCACAAACGCUUAAAACUCUAAGGACUUGGCGGUGCCUCAAACCCACCUAGAGGAGCCUGUUCUAUAAUCGAUAACCCACGCUACACCCGGCCGCUCUUUGCACGUUCAGCCUACAUACCGCCGUCGCCAGUCCACCUAUCCUGAGAGAACAACAGUGAACGCAAUAGCCUUAACCACGCUAAAAAGACAGGUCAAGGUAUAGCCAAUAGAGCGGAAGAAAUGGGCUACAUUUUCUAACUUAGAAAACUACGAAAGGGGACAUGAAACCGCCCCCAGAAGGCGGAUUUAGCAGUAAAGCUGGAUCAUAGUGCCAUCUUUAAACCGGCCCCGGGGCACGUACAUACCGCCCGUCACCCUCCUCGCAAGCUACUCACAUAAGUAAUUAACAUUAACUUUUAGCCAAAGAUGAGGU
This 484-nucleotide ribosomal RNA is filed under the name Selasphorus rufus (rufous hummingbird). RNAcentral describes it as "partial 12S ribosomal RNA". It matches the Rfam family "Bacterial small subunit ribosomal RNA", at positions 779 to 1455 of the family's 1533-position model. Lineage: Eukaryota; Metazoa; Chordata; Aves; Apodiformes; Trochilidae. The record is from RNAcentral.